This 399-nucleotide ribosomal RNA is filed under the name uncultured soil bacterium. RNAcentral's name for it is "bacterial SSU rRNA". It matches the Rfam family "Bacterial small subunit ribosomal RNA", at positions 975 to 1375 of the family's 1533-position model. The record is from RNAcentral.
CCAGGCUUGAACAGCCAGUGACCACUCCCGAAAGGGAGCUUCCGCAAGGACACUGGUAGAGGUGCUGCAUGGCUGUCGUCAGCUCGUGUCGUGAGAUGUUGGGUUAAGUCCCGCAACGAGCGCAACCCUUGUCUGCUGUUGCCAUCACGUUAUGGUGGGCACUCUGCAGAGACUGCCGGUGAUAAACCGGAGGAAGGUGGGGAUGACGUCAAGUCAGCAUGGCCUUUAUGUCUGGGGCUACACACGUGCUACAAUGGCAGAUACAAACCGUCGCGAGACCGCAAGGUGGAGCUAAUCGGAGAAAGUCUGUCUCAGUUCGGAUUGUCGGCUGCAACUCGCCGGCAUGAAGUUGGAAUCGCUAGUAAUCGCGGAUCAGCACGCCGCGGUGAAUACGUUCCC